RNAcentral lists this small RNA (78 nucleotides) under Flavobacterium phragmitis. RNAcentral describes it as "Flavo-1 RNA". It matches the Rfam family "Flavo-1 RNA". The record is from RNAcentral. Lineage: Bacteria; Pseudomonadati; Bacteroidota; Flavobacteriia; Flavobacteriales; Flavobacteriaceae.
CCCUAGCCCCGAUAGAAGUGGAAAUCCUUUAGUGGCGGGGUUCGCCACUAAAGAUUGGAACGGAUAGCGGGAUUAGCU